GGCCCUCUUUGUUGUAUGGGUCGGCGAACUCGACUGCGAGCCAGUUGAAUGAAUCAACGAUCAGGCCCACGUUUGGCCGGUUAGCUGCACGGACUACCUCCCAUGUGGAUGACCAAGUGUUCCGUAGUGCCCAUGAAAGGCCCUCAUACCCAAUCUUGAUCAUUGGGCCUCCAUCUUGUCUGGCAAACGCCGCUGCCAUAUCCCCAAGUUCUCGCAGGUCGUUCGCAACGGUUUUAAGCUCGAUCGUGCUAUUUUCCGCUCCGAUAUUCGAGACGAGGAAUAGCAUAUCCGUAUCGAAUGCCCGC
This 305-nucleotide small RNA is filed under the name Histoplasma capsulatum. Its description in RNAcentral is "hypothetical RNA". The record is from RNAcentral. Lineage: Eukaryota; Fungi; Ascomycota; Eurotiomycetes; Onygenales; Ajellomycetaceae. RNAcentral also lists the same sequence under 1 other name.